RNAcentral lists this unclassified non-coding RNA (454 nucleotides) under Pyrenochaeta sp. OTU_091. Its description in RNAcentral is "sequence contains ITS1, 5.8S rRNA gene and ITS2". The stretch from base 142 to 295 matches the Rfam family "5.8S ribosomal RNA". Lineage: Eukaryota; Fungi; Ascomycota; Dothideomycetes; Pleosporales; Cucurbitariaceae. The record is from RNAcentral.
CCAAUUUCGGGGGACUUCGGUCCCUGUCUGAAACCCUUGUCUUUUGAGUACCAUUUGUUUCCUUGGUAGGCUUUGCCUACCAUUAGGACACCACUUAACCUCUUGUAAUUGCAAUCAGCGUCAGAAAAACAUAAUAGUUACAACUUUCAACAACGGAUCUCUUGGUUCUGGCAUCGAUGAAGAACGCAGCGAAAUGCGAAAAGUAGUGUGAAUUGCAGAAUUCAGUGAAUCAUCGAAUCUUUGAACGCACAUUGCGCCCCUUGGUAUUCCAUGGGGCAUGCCUGUUCGAGCGUCAUUUGUAUCUUCAAGCUCUGCUUGGUGUUGGGUGUUUGUCCCGCUUUGUGCGUGGACUCGCCUUAAAGCAAUUGGCAGCCGGCGUACUAGUCUGGGAGCGCAGCACAAUUUGCGCCUCUGAACCUGAACGCUUGCGUCCAUGAAGUCUAUACUUUUGCUU